UACGAAGGGGGCUAGCGUUGUUCGGAAUCACUGGGCGUAAAGCGUAUGUAGGCGGAUCGUUAAGUCGGGGGUGAAAUCCCGAGGCUCAACCUCGGAACUGCCUUCGAUACUGGCGAUCUUCGAGUCCGGGAGAGGUGAGUGGAACUCCGAGUGUAGAGGUGAAAUUCGUAGAUAUUCGGAAGAACACCAGUGGCGAAGGCGGCUCACUGGCCCGGUACUGACGCUGAUAUACGAAAGCGUGGGGAGCAAACAGG
Molecule: ribosomal RNA, 254 nt
Filed under: uncultured bacterium
Lineage: Bacteria
Description: partial 16S ribosomal RNA
Rfam family: Bacterial small subunit ribosomal RNA
Source: RNAcentral